Molecule: long non-coding RNA, 624 nt
Filed under: Malus domestica (apple)
Lineage: Eukaryota; Viridiplantae; Streptophyta; Magnoliopsida; Rosales; Rosaceae
Description: long non-coding RNA (MDOM_LNC005971)
Source: RNAcentral
ACUUCUAAAACAAUAUGAUUGUCAAUUAGAAGAUCUUCCAAAAUUUUCAUAACUCCAUAAGAUGUAGUUGGAAAAGAAAGACAAAUCUUAAGCAUGUUAAAGAUUUGGGGUUGUGUGCUAAACUAGCAAUAUUUGUUUGAUAACAAUCUUGUAGGAUAUCCUUAAAAUAACUUUUGGAUAUCGCUUCUAUAAACCAACUAACAAAGGUUGUUUUGUUAGGUAGUUCAUUGUAAUCCUACAAUGUGAUUUGCCUAAGAUGCAAAUGAACGAGAGAUAGAACUCAAAGAAUGGGUUCUUUGAGAGACAAGAAAGUAAUCAACAAAUAUAACAACCUAGUUCCUAUACCACAAGCUCCAAGGUAGUCGAUAAGAAUGAAAAUCCUUAUGACUACAUUGAGUGCAUAUACGAUAUAUACUCAAGAAAAUGGUAAAGUACCAUUUGACUCGAAAUAAUGAAACCUUCAAGGUAGUCGAUAGCUUAAGGUGACUACAAUCAAAGAGAAUGGUUGACUUUGAAGAAACCAUCUUUGAGAUAGUCUUGGUUUCAAUUAAUUCGAAUAUUGCUAGCUACAACUAAAUGGUGAUUCAAUGUUUUGACAUAAUAUGGGUUUCCGAAACCAUUAUU